Bos taurus (domestic cattle) is the source of this 624-nucleotide long non-coding RNA. Lineage: Eukaryota; Metazoa; Chordata; Mammalia; Artiodactyla; Bovidae. The record is from Ensembl.
CUCAGGAUUCAUUUAAAGUUAAGUGUCCUGAAUUGAAGGUGUGAUCAGCCUGCACAGCUGUGUUUUUCUGCAACCAUGCUCAGCAGAACCAUGGCAGGUGAUGGGCAAGCUAAGAGCUGGAAUUGAUCAGACCACAGGAAUUUGCCUGGCACACUGAUCAUUUCUCAAAAGCCUGUUCAAGAAUGAAGGAAACUAGAGGAAUGAAGGCACCAAAAUAAGAAAAGAUGACACCCCACAGCACAAAAGCAGCCCAUCAAACAACCAAGACGCCGACAUGCUCAGCAGGACUACAGGAAAGCUGCCGUCUCGCCUGUCAGAUGUAACCUUUUCUUCUCUGUCCUGGGCUUUUCUGAAAAGAAUACACCUCCCUACCAAGGCCAUCUUCAAUCUCUACAGAAGUCCCCAACUCCACCACCUCUUCAUGCGGUCACUGCAUGGGGACCUUCCUUGCCUGCUCUUUAGGACAAAGGUCUACACACAGCUGAUCCCCUCCCCACAGAGGCCAACACUUUUGAUUUCAUCAAUAAAUCAUUUGUAAUCAAGACAUUAAAGCUCAGGCUCAAACAGACCAGAAGUGCAGCUUCUGGAAUUGACAGGAAUAAAUUUGUCAGAUGUAGAUUCAUA